RNAcentral lists this ribosomal RNA (885 nucleotides) under uncultured bacterium. Its description in RNAcentral is "bacterial SSU rRNA". It matches the Rfam family "Bacterial small subunit ribosomal RNA", at positions 8 to 912 of the family's 1533-position model. The record is from RNAcentral.
AGAGUUUGAUCCUGGCCCUGGAUGAACGCUGGCGGCGUGCCUAAUACAUGCAAGUCGAACGGAGAUUGUAGCAAUACGGUCUUAGUGGCGAACGGGUGAGUAACGCGUUGGCAACCUGCCCCGAAGUGUGGGAUAACGGUCCGAAAGGGCCACUAAUACCACAUGUGAUCCCGAGGAACAGAUACUUGGGAUGAAAGGAGCGAUUCGCUUCGGGAGGGGCCUGCGUCCCAUCAGCUAGUUGGUAAGGUAACGGCUUACCAAGGCGAUGACGGGUAGGGGACCUGAGAGGGUGGCCCCCCACAAUGGAACUGAAACACGGUCCAUACACCUACGGGUGGCAGCAGUAGGGAAUAUUGGUUAAUGUGCGAAAGCGCGAACCAGCAACGCCGCGUGUGCGAUGAAGGCCUUCGGGUCGUAAAGCACUUUUUGCAGGGAAGAGGAAGGACGGUACCUGCAGAAUAAGUCUCGGCUAACUACGUGCUAGCAGCCGCGGUAAAACGUAGGAGACGAGCGUUAUCCGGAUUUACUGGGCGUAAAGCGCGUGCAGGCGGCAUGGCAAGUUGGAUGUGAAAGCUCCCGGCUUAACUGGGAGAGGUCGUUCAAUACUGCCAGGCUUGAGAGUGGUAGAGGGAAGCGGAAUUCCGGGUGUAGUGGUGAAAUGCGUAGAUAUCCGGAGGAACACCAGUGGCGAAAGCGGCUUCCUGGCCCAUUUCUGACGCUCAGACGCGAAAGCUAGGGUAGCAAACGGGAUUAGAGACCCCGGUAGUCCUAGCCGUAAACGAUGUGAACUUGGCGUUGGCGGGUUUAAAUCCGUCAGUGCCGUAGCUAACGCGAUAAGUUCACCGCCUGGGGACUACGGCCGCAAGGUUAAAACCAAAGGAAUUG